UACAGAGGUCUCAAGCGUUGUUCGGAUUCAUUGGGCGUAAAGGGUGCGUAGGUGGCGCGGUAAGUCGGGUGUGAAAUUUCGGAGCUUAACUCCGAAACUGCAUUCGAUACUGCCGUGCUUGAGGACUGGAGAGGAGACUGGAAUUUACGGUGUAGCGGUGAAAUGCGUAGAUAUCGUAAGGAAGACCAGUGGCGAAGGCGGGUCUCUGGACAGUUCCUGACACUGAGACACGAAGGCCAGGGGAGCAAACGGG
RNAcentral lists this ribosomal RNA (253 nucleotides) under uncultured bacterium. Its description in RNAcentral is "partial 16S ribosomal RNA". It matches the Rfam family "Bacterial small subunit ribosomal RNA", at positions 524 to 776 of the family's 1533-position model. The record is from RNAcentral.